This 322-nucleotide unclassified non-coding RNA is filed under the name uncultured Pezizomycetes. RNAcentral describes it as "sequence contains ITS1". The stretch from base 1 to 105 matches the Rfam family "5.8S ribosomal RNA", at positions 50 to 154 of the family's 154-position model. The record is from RNAcentral. Lineage: Eukaryota; Fungi; Ascomycota; Pezizomycetes.
GAAAUGCGAUAAGUAGUGUGAAUUGCAGAAUUCAGUGAAUCAUCGAAUCUUUGAACGCACAUUGCGCCUUCCGGUAUUCCGGAAGGCAUGCCUGUUCGAGCGUCAUAUCAACCUCUCAAGCUUGGAUUUAUUCUCGCUUGGUAUUGGUCAAGGAUUGAGCUUCGCUCAUUCCUGGUCGAAAUGCAAUGGCGAAGUCUUCCGUUCCGAUCAGUGUAGUAAUCAACGUUAUGUUUCACUGUUGGAUGUGAUGUGGCUUCCGCCGCAAACUCCCCCAUUCUAAGUGUUUGACCUCGGAUCAGGCAGGAAUACCCGCUGAACUUAA